RNAcentral lists this ribosomal RNA (810 nucleotides) under uncultured Bacillota bacterium. Its description in RNAcentral is "bacterial SSU rRNA". It matches the Rfam family "Bacterial small subunit ribosomal RNA", at positions 523 to 1333 of the family's 1533-position model. Lineage: Bacteria; Bacillati; Bacillota. The record is from RNAcentral.
AUACGUAGGUCUCGAGCGUUGUCCGGAUUUAUUGGGCGUAAAGCGAGCGCAGGCGGUUAUUUAAGUCUGAAGUUAAAGGCCGUGGCUCAACCAUGGUUCGCUUUGGAAACUGGAUAACUUGAGUGCAGAAGGGGAGAGUGGAAUUCCAUGUGUAGCGGUGAAAUGCGUAGAUAUAUGGAGGAACACCGGUGGCGAAAGCGGCUCUCUGGUCUGUAACUGACGCUGAGGCUCGAAAGCGUGGGGAGCAAACAGGAUUAGAUACCCUGGUAGUCCACGCCGUAAACGAUGGAUACUAGGUGUGGGAGGUAUUGACCCCUUCCGUGCCGCAGUUAACACAUUAAGCAUCCCACCUGGGGAGUACGACCGCAAGGUUGAAACUCAAAGGAAUUGACGGGGGCCCGCACAAGCAGUGGAGUAUGUGGUUUAAUUCGAAGCAACGCGAAGAACCUUACCUGGUCUUGACAUCCCGAUGACCGGUCUAGAGAUAGACUUUUCUCUUCGGAGACAUCGGUGACAGGUGGUGCAUGGUUGUCGUCAGCUCGUGUCGUGAGAUGUUGGGUUAAGUCCCGCAACGAGCGCAACCCUUAUUGUUAGUUGAUACAUUUAGUUGAUCACUCUAGCGAGACUGCCGUUGACAAAACGGAGGAAGGUGGGGACGACGUCAAAUCAUCAUGCCCCUUAUGAUUUGGGCUACACACGUGCUACAAUGGCGUAAACAAAGGGAAGCGAACCUGUGAGGGGGAGCAAAUCCCAAAAAUAACGUCCCAGUUCGGACUGUAGUCUGCAACCCGACUACACGAAGCUGGAAUC